GGGAUAACAUUCUGAAAAGAAUGCUAAUACCGCAUGACAUAUCGGAACCACAUGGUUCUGAUAUCAAAGAUUUUAUCGCUUGAAGAUGGACUCGCGUCCGAUUAGUUAGUUGGUGAGGUAACGGCUCACCAAGACCGCGAUCGGUAGCCGGACUGAGAGGUUGAACGGCCACAUUGGGACUGAGACACGGCCCAGACUCCUACGGGAGGCAGCAGUGGGGGAUAUUGCGCAAUGGGGGCAACCCUGACGCAGCAACGCCGCGUGAAGGAUGAAGGUUUUCGGAUUGUAAACUUCUUUUAUUAAGGACGAAAAAUGACGGUACUUAAUGAAUAAGCUCCGGCUAACUACGUGCCAGCAGCCGCGGUAAUACGUAGGGAGCAAGCGUUGUCCGGAUUUACUGGGUGUAAAGGGUGCGUAGGCGGCUUUGCAAGUCAGAUGUGAAAUCUAUGGGCUCAACCCAUAAACUGCAUUUGAAACUGUAGAGCUUGAGUGAAGUAGAGGCAGGCGGAAUUCCCCGUGUAGCGGUGAAAUGCGUAGAGAUGGGGAGGAACACCAGUGGCGAAGGCGGCCUGCUGGGCUUUAACUGACGCUGAGGCACGAAAGCGUGGGUAGCAAACAGGAUUAGAUACCCUGGUAGUCCACGCUGUA
RNAcentral lists this ribosomal RNA (648 nucleotides) under uncultured bacterium. RNAcentral's name for it is "bacterial SSU rRNA". It matches the Rfam family "Bacterial small subunit ribosomal RNA", at positions 140 to 804 of the family's 1533-position model. The record is from RNAcentral.